Molecule: ribosomal RNA, 492 nt
Filed under: uncultured bacterium
Lineage: Bacteria
Description: partial 16S ribosomal RNA
Rfam family: Bacterial small subunit ribosomal RNA
Source: RNAcentral
AGUGAACGCUCGCGGUAGGCCUAACACAUGCAAGUCGAACGGCAGCACAGUAAGAGCUUGCUCUUACGGGUGGCGAGUGGCGGACGGGUGAGGAAUACAUCGGAAUCUACUUUUUCGUGGGGGAUAACGUAGGGAAACUUACGCUAAUACCGCAUACGACCUACGGGUGAAAGCAGGGGAUCUUCGGACCUUGCGCGAUUGAAUGAGCCGAUGUCGGAUUAGCUAGUUGGCGGGGUAAAGGCCUACCAAGGCGACGAUCCGUAGCUGGUCUGAGAGGAUGAUCAGCCACACUGGAACUGAGACACGGUCCAGACUCCUACGGGAGGCAGCAGUGGGGAAUAUUGGACAAUGGGCGCAAGCCUGAUCCAGCCAUACCGCGUGGGUGAAGAAGGCCUUCGGGUUGUAAAGCCCUUUUGUUGGGAAAGAAAAGCAGCAGGUUAAUACCCCGCUGUUCUGACGGUACCCAAAGAAUAAGCACCGGCUAACUUCGUG